This 661-nucleotide ribosomal RNA is filed under the name Klebsiella pneumoniae. RNAcentral's name for it is "bacterial SSU rRNA". It matches the Rfam family "Bacterial small subunit ribosomal RNA", at positions 872 to 1533 of the family's 1533-position model. The record is from RNAcentral. RNAcentral also lists the same sequence under 1 other name. Lineage: Bacteria; Pseudomonadati; Pseudomonadota; Gammaproteobacteria; Enterobacterales; Enterobacteriaceae.
CCUGGGGAGUACGGCCGCAAGGUUAAAACUCAAAUGAAUUGACGGGGGCCCGCACAAGCGGUGGAGCAUGUGGUUUAAUUCGAUGCAACGCGAAGAACCUUACCUGGUCUUGACAUCCACAGAACUUAGCAGAGAUGCUUUGGUGCCUUCGGGAACUGUGAGACAGGUGCUGCAUGGCUGUCGUCAGCUCGUGUUGUGAAAUGUUGGGUUAAGUCCCGCAACGAGCGCAACCCUUAUCCUUUGUUGCCAGCGGUCCGGCCGGGAACUCAAAGGAGACUGCCAGUGAUAAACUGGAGGAAGGUGGGGAUGACGUCAAGUCAUCAUGGCCCUUACGACCAGGGCUACACACGUGCUACAAUGGCAUAUACAAAGAGAAGCGACCUCGCGAGAGCAAGCGGACCUCAUAAAGUAUGUCGUAGUCCGGAUUGGAGUCUGCAACUCGACUCCAUGAAGUCGGAAUCGCUAGUAAUCGUAGAUCAGAAUGCUACGGUGAAUACGUUCCCGGGCCUUGUACACACCGCCCGUCACACCAUGGGAGUGGGUUGCAAAAGAAGUAGGUAGCUUAACCUUCGGGAGGGCGCUUACCACUUUGUGAUUCAUGACUGGGGUGAAGUCGUAACAAGGUAACCGUAGGGGAACCUGCGGUUGGAUCACCUCCUUA